GACGAACGCUGGCGGCGCGCUUAACACAUGCAAGUCGAGCGAGAACCAGCCCUUCGGGGCUGGGGACAGCGGCGAACGGGUGAGUAACACGUGGGUAAUCUGCCCUCGGCACCGGGAUAGCCCGGGGAAACCCGGGACUUAAUACCGGAUGGCCUUUCGAGCCCUCGGGCUUGAGAGAAAAGGUAGCCUUGGCCUCUGGCCGAGGAUGAGCCCGCGGCCGAUUAGCUUGUUGGUGAGGUAAUGGCCCACCAAGGCGACGAUCGGUAGCUGGUCUGAGAGGACGAUCAGCCACACUGGGACUGAGACACGGCCCAGACUCCUACGGGAGGCAGCAGUGGGGAAUCUUGCGCAAUGGGCGAAAGCCUGACGCAGCGACGCCGUGUGCGGGAAGAAGGCCU
Molecule: ribosomal RNA, 398 nt
Filed under: uncultured bacterium
Lineage: Bacteria
Description: bacterial SSU rRNA
Rfam family: Bacterial small subunit ribosomal RNA
Source: RNAcentral